GUUCUCAUUUUCCUACUGCGCAGGGUAAGUGGACUUGUGUGCUUUGUAGCUGUUACUCUUUUGUGCUUUGUCUUUUUCUUUUAUUUUCUUUUGAGCGAUUGUGCGAACAUAGCAUAGCACGCGCUAUGCCUUCUGUGUUGUAGCUGUCUGGCCAGGAUGACUGGCGAAUAAGGUCUUGUGCGUGGCCUCGAGGCUUAAAAGUAGUAGCGGGGCUUUGUGAAGGACAAAAUGGCGAUGGCGGGCCGUGCAGGUCCCCUCCCUAUGAUGAGGACCUUUUCACAGACCUGUACUGAGCUCCGUGAGGAUAUGUAACUCUGAGGAGAUGGGCCCUGCAAGCCUCCUGCUUAGUAACGUCUGUUCAGAAAAUAGCGUUUUCGAAAUGCCCUGUGUUGACCUAAUGUCUUCUUGGGCUCCUGUCUCCAGGGUUUACGCGCACGUUGGAAUCGAAGAGAGUUCUAUUGUUGCAGUAAGUUCUUAUGGCCAUUUCUUAACCUCUGCUCUUUCGUUGAGUGUGUGGAAGUUGCUACGGGGAUGAUUUUACGAACCGAACUCUCUCUUUCUGAUGGAUUAGUGGAGAAAACACAAAAAUUCUGAGUAGCACUGUACUGUACGCAACAAAUGUCAGGGCCCUAUUGAUUUGUCUGAGGUGUUAGUGAAGAGUGUUAUUUUUUCAGAUGUUCAGCCCACAAGAGCUUACUGGUGAAGGAAUGGGACAAGACCCAUCUUUAUGCAAAGCCAGCGUUACAGUAAUGUUCCAGCAUCUCAUAACCUAUCCUGAGGAAUUCAGCUGCCUCCCAGGGUGAAUACAGGUAUUCCUGAUGACAGUCUGCCCCUAUCUUACAGAGCAGCUUGUUGCUAUAUACCAUUGAAAAGCCUUCAGAGCUGAGAGGUACUACUAACCAAUAACCUGAUUGGCUCAAAGGGCCAGCACCUUCUCUCUAAAGCCCAAGAGGAGUUGGAGGAAAACUAAGUGUCUCUGUUCACUCCAGGCUGAAAUUACAGGUCUGAGGAAAGAAGGUGUAUAAAAAAUGGAAUCUGUCUUGGAAGACAUCAGAAGGUGAAUUUUCCAAGUCCUUGGACAACCUAGCUGUUAAAAAAAGCUUUCUGGGUUUGGGGGGGUCUUUCAGAUGUACCUUAAAGUGUUAGCAGACACAGAUUUAAGACACUGGGAGCCAAUGAAACAGCAGUUGAGGGUUUGCUGUGUAUCACAUUUCUGUAUUUUAUCACCCCCUUCCUGCAACAUUAUUUCUGUGGAAUCUACCUGCCCUUUUGUUUUUAAGAUACAAGGGCUUGGUUUUGUUACCAAGGCUGGUUUCAAGGCCCUAGCUUUGAGAUCCUCCCACUACAUAUUUCCAAAGUGCUGGGAUUACAGGUGUGAUGCGUGGCACCCAGACUUUGCUGCCUUUCUUACAUGAUCCAGGCCCAGAACCCAAACUCAGGCACUGCAUAGAUGACCAGUUAGGUAAACUACUGACCUAGCUUGUUGCCAAUUGUUGAUUGAGCUUCCCAUAACUCCACUUCGUUUCUGUUCCUCUGUAUGCCGCCACCUUCUAUUGCCAUCAUGAGCCUUUAGGUCUCCAUUUCCAUAUUGCAAAUACUAUGUUCCACACGUAGGUAGCUCAGUCAGGGCCUUGCUCUUCACUUCAAAAAAGAUUCCCUUGAGGACUGGCUGUCAAUUUGUGUUGCUGUGUUGGUUGUUGAUGAAAAUAAUAAAAUGAUGGAUUACAUA
This is a long non-coding RNA of Symphalangus syndactylus (siamang), 1729 nucleotides long. RefSeq lists it as uncharacterized. The record is from RefSeq and is a predicted model, not a curated record. Lineage: Eukaryota; Metazoa; Chordata; Mammalia; Primates; Hylobatidae.